This is a small nucleolar RNA of Jaculus jaculus (lesser Egyptian jerboa), 206 nucleotides long. RefSeq annotates it as small nucleolar RNA U3. NCBI's taxonomy places the organism in Eukaryota, Metazoa, Chordata, Mammalia, Rodentia, Dipodidae. The transcript has a single exon. The record is from RefSeq and is a predicted model, not a curated record.
ACGCCAGGCUCAGGGAUCAUUUCUAGAGCUCAUCACCAGAGAAGCUUCUGACUGUGCAGAGCACCGGAAACCACGAGCGCGGCGGCGCGUUCUCUCCCGAGCGUGAAGCCCGCUCUUGGUGUUGCUUUGCUGCAACUGCCACUUGCCAUUGGUGGUCGUUCCUGCCCUCGUUCCGGGCAGCUGGAGGGAGAGGACGCAGGCUGAGU